GACACACUCCUUAGAUCAAGCCAUUCUGUGCUGCAGCAGCUCAGAGGCCCCCAGCAGCUUUCUGGCUGUACAGUCGGAGGUGCCUGAGUUGUUGGUGUGUGUGAGCAGCCUAAACACU
Molecule: small nucleolar RNA, 118 nt
Organism: Myripristis murdjan (pinecone soldierfish)
Lineage: Eukaryota; Metazoa; Chordata; Actinopteri; Holocentriformes; Holocentridae
Product: small nucleolar RNA SNORA53
Source: Ensembl